RNAcentral lists this ribosomal RNA (479 nucleotides) under uncultured bacterium. Its description in RNAcentral is "partial 16S ribosomal RNA". It matches the Rfam family "Bacterial small subunit ribosomal RNA", at positions 28 to 523 of the family's 1533-position model. The record is from RNAcentral.
GACGAACGCUGGCGGCGUGCUUAACACAUGCAAGUCGAACGGUAAGGCCCUUCGGGGUACACGAGUGGCGAACGGGUGAGUAACACGUGGGUGAUCUGCCCUGCUCUUCGGGAUAAGCCUGGGAAACUGGGUCUAAUACCGGAUAGGACUCCUGGCUUCAUGGUUGGGGGUGGAAAGCUUUUGCGGUGUGGGAUGGGCCCGCGGCCUAUCAGCUUGUUGGUGGGGGUAAUGGCCUACCAAGGCGACGACGGGUAGCCGGCCUGAGAGGGUGACCGGUCACACUGGGACUGAGAUACGGCCCAGACUCCUACGGGAGGCAGCAGUGGGGAAUAUUGCACAAUGGGCGCAAGCCUGAUGCAGCGACGCCGCGUGAGGGAUGACGGCCUUCGGGUUGUAAACCUCUUUCAGCUAUGACGAAGCGCAAGUGACGGUAGUAGCAGAAGAAGGACCGGCCAACUACGUGCCAGCCGCCGCGGUAA